RNAcentral lists this ribosomal RNA (429 nucleotides) under Chloroflexota bacterium. Its description in RNAcentral is "Chloroflexi bacterium partial 16S ribosomal RNA". It matches the Rfam family "Bacterial small subunit ribosomal RNA", at positions 355 to 776 of the family's 1533-position model. Lineage: Bacteria; Bacillati; Chloroflexota. The record is from RNAcentral.
UGGGGAAUAUUGCACAAUGGGCGCAAGUCUGAUGCAGCCAUGCCGCGUGUAUGAAGAAGGCCUUCGGGUUGUAAAGUACUUUCAGUCGGGAGGAAGGUGUCAAGGUUAAUAACCUUGGCAAUUGACGUUACCGACAGAAGAAGCACCGGCUAACUCCGUGCCAGCAGCCGCGGUAAUACGGAGGGUGCAAGCGUUAAUCGGAAUUACUGGGCGUAAAGCGCACGCAGGCGGUUGAUUGAGUCAGAUGUGAAAUCCCCGGGCUUAACCCGGGAAUUGCAUCUGAUACUGGUCAGCUAGAGUCUUGUAGAGGGGGGUAGAAUUCCAUGUGUAGCGGUGAAAUGCGUAGAGAUGGGGAGGAAUACCGGUGGCGAAGGCGGCCCCCUGGACAAAGACUGACGCUCAGGUGCGAAAGCGUGGGGAGCAAACAGG